UACUGUAUUUAUUACAGCACCAAUACAGCCCGUUUGACAUUUUCAAAGAUAAUUAAAUUUUCUUUGUUGAAGCACACGCUUCACAACAUUUUCAUCAAAAUUCAAAAAAAAUUAAAACAAUGGGAGAGCAAGCACAACAAACACCGACAACAAGUCAGCCGGUUUCUUCUAUGACGUCUAUGCAGAAAGAACGGCAUUUGAUGAAAAGUACAUUUAAAAACUUGAAGAACAGCUCAUGAGUUUGGAAAUCACUAAAACUACGUUUGAAAAAGUUUUUGAAAAACUCGGUACGAGCACUAUUCUUCGAAUGAAAUUCUUCGAAUGAAAUGGCAAAAGCGGUUAAACAUCGGAAUGACACUGGAUGUGAUUCGGAUAGUGAAUCGGCAUCACUUCAACACGAAGCAAAGAAGCCCAAAAAAGUUGAAUCACCGACUGGGAAUAUGUAGUAUGGGAGGCAAUUAUGAUGCGGUUUCGACAACUGUCAGAUCAGUACAGUGUUUGUUGUACAACCGAAACAUGAAUUCCGAACAUUUUCAUUCACGAUUUGAAGCAGCCAAAGGGGCCACAAUGGCCGCAGACGAAGGUCGCAAAAUACCUUCAUAACUCACCAGGUUUCGAUCAGCCCAAUGUUAAGCCAAACCAAGCCUCCUUGCCAAAGCAAGAUAAACGGAUAGUUAAGUUGUUCGACGAAAAUCCAGGUAUGUCGUUGUGUUGAAUGGCUACGCCAUCUUAAAAUAGAGGUCUCGUACUCUACUAUCAAGAAAGGAUUAGAUGUCGCCGGUGUUCGUUAUCGCAGUACAAUGAAGAAACCCUUUUUGACAGAAAACCAGAAGAAAAACGCAUUGACUGGGCAAAGCAAAAUUCAACAAGAGAUUGGAGCGAAGUUAUAUACACUGACGAGUCAUUCUUUUGGCUGGCGAAUAGCACUACCCAUGCCUAGUCUAGAGCCAAAAAGAAAGUGGUCGUUCGCACGGUAAAGCAUCCAAAAAAGGUCCAUGUUUAUGGUUGCUUCUGUGAAACUGAUUUUGGAAAGUUGACCAACUUUAUUCAUCGACACUGUUACCCACCGGCAAGAAGUUCUAUGGCAACGGCAAUUCGAAUUGGCUUCUAUUAGAAGACAACGAUCCAAAACACAAAAGUCGUCUCUGCGUCGCUCGGAAAGAGGAAAAUGGAAUAAAACAAAUGAUCUGGCCACCACAGUCACCCGAUUGCAAUCCGACCGAAAAUGUUUGGGCUAUUAUUAAGGCAAGGCUUCGCAAUUUGAAGCAGCUCAGUUCAUUCAUUCAACGCCAGUGGAAAACAUCAAUGAAAAAAUUUAUCUCAACAUCGUGUGUUUCAUUUAAAUUU
Molecule: long non-coding RNA, 1347 nt
Organism: Contarinia nasturtii (swede midge)
Lineage: Eukaryota; Metazoa; Arthropoda; Insecta; Diptera; Cecidomyiidae
Exons: 3
Source: RefSeq, a predicted model, not a curated record